This 1137-nucleotide long non-coding RNA is filed under the name Struthio camelus australis. RNAcentral describes it as "lncRNA (ENSSCUG00000000637.1)". Lineage: Eukaryota; Metazoa; Chordata; Aves; Struthioniformes; Struthionidae. The record is from RNAcentral.
CUAGUGGUAGCAGGAGGGCCGUGACAGGACUCAGGGGAGCCCAGCCUUCAUGGGAAGCUUGUUAGCACCCAGGCUGGGAUGCGGGUGGGUUGGCUCGCGAGGAGGGACAGGGAGACCCCUUCUCGUAGAGGCCUGCCGAUAAGGGGUCAGAGCUGGUUUGAGGUCAGAGCUGCCUGCUGUUGGUGUGGGCAGUGGUGCCCCACAGCUUCAGAAGGACACCAUGGGCAAGGCAGGGCAGGGUGAGGCGAGCUCGUGGUCCAAUGCCGUGCCAGGAGUUCUUGUUUCCUGUAACUGCCUCCUUUGCAGUGGCAGUAGCAAAGGAAAAUCUGGCUGAAGGUGAAUCAUCGUUAUUACAGUGGGGUCCUGAAUUCAUGAGCCAGCCCCUUAAGAGCACAGAGCUCAGAUUCCAAGGCAUCUCACAAGACUUUUUACAGUUUUGGCAUACUUUACAGAUGGAAGGAUGAAGGCAUUAAGGGUGAAGUGAGUGAUUCAAGGUCAUGAAAUGAACCAGUUGCAAUACAGGAAAGACUGCAAGUUUGAUACAUUCUUCUCGUGGAUAUACCACUUAUAAAUUUUUUUAUUUGUAUUUUUUAUAAAUGACCAUUCAUUAUUUUGUAAGGAACCACUGAAACAUUGCAGGCUGUUUGUCUUGUUGAUGCAGUUUUGCCUUCCUUUUCCUUGAAGUUAGGCUUUUGUGUGUUGUAAUGAUGAAUAUGAUGAAUUCUACAUUUUCACCUCUUUAUACAAAAUGUACUCAAAAUUUCCGGCACAACUGCUUUUAACUUCCUGUGAAAGAAUAUUUUUUAUUGUACCUUUCUAGUAUUGAUAGGUGCUUCAGCCAUUUUUCACUGUGCUUGGCCAGGAUAUAUCUGGAAGAACAAAAAGUGAUUACAGAUCCUAAGAUACAGUUUCCAGAAGUCUGAUCAAGAAAGGGGUUAAAAGUGAGGCAACCUUAUCUCUUACUUCAGCGGAAGUAUAGUUGUUGAUUUGAAGCUCUCUGUAAAUGAUUGUUGGAGAUCUGUCAUGUGUAGCAGUGCAUUGAAAAAGCAUACCACAAACUCUGCUCCCUUCUCAAGAGUGUUUACCUGUCAACAACUCACUUUAAUUGUAGUCUUUUAAGGUAUCAGAAGGCAGGCA